AUACGCCACUGCAGUCCCUCAUGUUGAUUUUCUCAUGUGUGUCGAAAAAAAAAAACUCGAAUAAACCGCAUCGUACGACAGAUGCGAGUAACGAAAUGAAUUUGUGAGUACCGAAUCGGUACUUCGAGUAAACCGAUGUACCCGUUACUCGGUAACGAAUAGAUACGGUUUGCUCCAGCUGUAAUGUCUAGGCGCUUAACCUCCUUGGCUUGUCUCUUUGUUAAGCUUGGCUUGCUUGCGUUGCUUUUGCUUUGCGCUCCUGCACUUGUGCGAUGCUACUUGGGAAAGUAAAAGUGCGUGUGGAGUGAGAGACUAACAGUUAUUUUUAAGGCUGGAAUCCUGAAAGACACUCCACAAAUCAAGACAUUACUGAGCUCCACCUUCGAAUUUUGCCGAUUUAUAAAUUACAAGCCGAGAGGCAAUUCAUUAUUUUCCAUUCUACACCGUGUAAGUAGGUCGACACUAUUUCCGUAUUAUCCAUCAUUUCUGCCAGAGAAUAUCAACUAAGAUUCAUUAAACAUUUCUAAGUGAUUAUGGGCCUGAUGAAGAGUCAAGUUCUGUUCCCUGUAAUAAGGUGCUUUGUUUAUUUAGAAUGGAAUCUGUUCUCCUGCAGUACACAGAAAUUGCACUCCUAGUGAAUAUGGAAAUUAUUUGGAUAAAAGUAAUUUAAAUAUUCAUACCUGUUUGCAUAUGGAAAUACAAUGUGUCGAUUAGUUUAAAUUUGAAAUUAUUAAGCAUGUAAAUACUAGUAGAAUUGAAAUCCCACAUAAUGUAGCAUGUACAAGUCAUUGCUUAAUAAAUAAUAUAAGAAGUUAAUCUUUGAUGAAGUGUUUCUUGGAGGAGAUGGUAUGCGUAACAUCACAUAAAAGAUGAACUGCAUUGCUAUUUUCAGAAAGAUACCACAUAUGUAUUUGCACAGGAUAGAAAAAGAUAUUGUGAAGCAUCUUAGAAUUAAUAUCCUUAAAGUUAACUCCCAUUUGUAUCCAUGUUCAAUAUGAACUGCAUCAAGAGGUGUGUAAGAAGAUGUAUGAAAUAAGCAUGUAUGUACCUGUGCAGCAAAGAACUUCGUGUGAGGCAAACCUAUGUUUAUGCUGGCAGAAAUCUCAUAGGUAACAAUCUAUUUUAGGCAAAAUGUUAUAAAGCUGCAUAUACUCAUUUACAGAGCACAGAAACCUGGUCAUUGUGUAGUAUGUAAUGAGUAAUUCGGUAGUGAGAUAAAGAUACGCAUGCUUUCCCACAUGGAAGAGAGAUUUAUGCAAUGUGUUGCAUGGCUUUUAGGAAAAAAGGUAUAUGAAGAAUCAUGUGUAUUUUCAUACUAAAAAGAAACCGUAAGAUAGUAAAUGGUGAGAUUACUGAUGGUCAGCAUCCGAGGUCCAACUAGCCAAAAAAACAUUGUGAAAUCCUGUUACCAUAUUUUAACGUCUGAAUGAAAAUUGGUAUAAGUCAUUUCAACUAAAGUUUGUGUAAAAGAAGCUUUUCUGGAUAAAUAAUAAAAAUAUUGGUUUUGAAAGGAAGAGCUUAGAGAAAAA
Stegodyphus dumicola is the source of this 1529-nucleotide long non-coding RNA. The record is from RefSeq and is a predicted model, not a curated record. NCBI's taxonomy places the organism in Eukaryota, Metazoa, Arthropoda, Arachnida, Araneae, Eresidae.